GAUAUAGUUUAGUAGAAGAAAGUGAAAAUUGAAAUGGCUUCAUCUAUGCUUUCAACAGCAGCUGUGGCUUGCAUUAACAGGGCUAGCCCUGCUCAGGCUAGCAUGGUGGCUCCGUUCACCGGCCUUAAGUCCACAUCCGCCUUCCCAACCACCCGCAAAACCACCACUGAUAUCACCUCCAUCGCCAGCAACGGUGGCAGGGUCCAAUGCAUGCAGGUAUGGCCACC
This 227-nucleotide unclassified non-coding RNA is filed under the name Hevea brasiliensis (rubber tree). The record is from RNAcentral. Lineage: Eukaryota; Viridiplantae; Streptophyta; Magnoliopsida; Malpighiales; Euphorbiaceae.